AAAAUGCUCACAGAGUCGAGGAAAACACGACAGGGAGAGAGUUCAAAGUGAAAGACAUGUCAUGCAGAGCCGAGUACCCCAUGACUGGCCGUUAAAAGGCACCAAAAUCACCGGCACCCUUCACACGACGGUCCAAACGGCGGUUCUCAUCGAAACCCUAACGGCGUUAGGCGCUGAGGUGCUCGGGCAACAUCUUCUCCACGCAAGACCACGCGGCUUCGGCCAUUGCGUGGGUCUCGGCCUCUGUCUUUCCAUAAAAAGGCAUGACUUUGAGCGAGUACUGAUGGUCGACGGAGCGAGCCCUAGACUGGGGGAACGAGUGUGAGCCGGACCUGGUCGUGGACGACGGAGGUGAUGCCACGUUGCUGAUUCAUUUGGGGUGAUGGCUGAAGAAUAGUAUGAGAAGAGCGGGCAAUUGUCCGAUUUGGAAACGACUGAAGAUUGUUUUGGGAUAAUUAGAGAAGGGUUAGCAGUACAUCCAAGAUUAAGGAGAGAUUAGUGAGUGUUUAUGAGGAGACUGCUACUGCUGGCCAAUGGGACUUUGUUCUCUCCUGCUGCUAACAUCAACGAUAACGUCACCAAGAGCAACUGCUGUACGGCCAAGGCGGAUGUACGGUACAGCAGUAAUUCGGGGCGGGAAAAAUAGCAUUUUUCGAUAAAUAAAAGGGGUAUUAAGCGUCACAAAUACUGUUUGCCGCUUUAUGUUAGUUAUGGUGAUGGUAAAGACUAAAUGGAAAACGAACGAUACUAGUCUUUAUGGGGCGGGCAUUAAUGGAGAUGGUGGCAGUGUUGGGACUAUGAGGCUAGUGGUGGUGCUGUAUGGGAGACAGUAGCUAAAGCUUUUAUGAUUGACGAUUGGUUUGUCUCUGAAUUUAUAUAAUUAAUUAAUAAAAUAUGGGUGAAUAAUUAUAGUAAGUAAGAAGGAGUAUUUAAUUUAAAUCUAAUUCCUACAAUCAUCAAUGUAGCUGUAGAAUCUACUUUUGAUUUUGUCAAACAAACAAACGGACGUGUAGUUUUUGUGAUCGGUCCCCACGAAAAUGCUCACAGAGUCGAGGAAAACACGACAGGGAGAGAGUUCAAAGUGAAAGACAUGUCAUGCAGAGCCGAGUACCCCAUGACUGGCCGUUAAAAGGCACCAAAAUCACCGGCACCCUUCACACGACGGUCCAAACGGCGGUUCUCAUCGAAACCCUAACGGCGUUAGGCGCUGAGGUGCUCGGGCAACAUCUUCUCCACGCAAGACCACGCGGCUUCGGCCAUUGCGUGGGUCUCGGCCUCUGUCUUUCCAUAAAAAGGCAUGACUUUGAGCGAGUACUGAUGGUCGACGGAGCGAGCCCUAGACUGGGGGAACGAGUGUGAGCCGGACCUGGUCGUGGACGACGGAGGUGAUGCCACGUUGCUGAUUCAUUUGGGGUGAUGGCUGAAGAAUAGUAUGAGAAGAGCGGGCAAUUGUCCGAUUUGGAAACGACUGAAGAUUGUUUUGGGAUAAUUAGAGAAGGGUUAGCAGUACAUCCA
RNAcentral lists this long non-coding RNA (1515 nucleotides) under Citrus sinensis (sweet orange). Its description in RNAcentral is "long non-coding RNA (CSIN_LNC002879)". The record is from RNAcentral. Lineage: Eukaryota; Viridiplantae; Streptophyta; Magnoliopsida; Sapindales; Rutaceae.